Molecule: ribosomal RNA, 429 nt
Filed under: uncultured bacterium
Lineage: Bacteria
Description: bacterial SSU rRNA
Rfam family: Bacterial small subunit ribosomal RNA
Source: RNAcentral
GUGGGGAAUCUUCCGCAAUGGGCGCAAGCCUGACGGAGCAACGCCGCGUGAAUGAAGAAGGUCUUCGGAUUGUAAAGUUCUGUCAUUAGGGACGAAUAAGGUCUGCGAAUAGCGGAUUGUAUGACGGUACCUAAGGAGGAAGCUCCGGCUAACUACGUGCCAGCAGCCGCGGUAAUACGUAGGGAGCAAGCGUUGUCCGGAAUUACUGGGCGUAAAGGGCGCGUAGGCGGAUGUUUAAGUCAGGUGUGAAAACUAAGGGCUCAACCUUUAGACUGCACUUGAAACUGGAUAUCUUGAGGGCAGGAGAGGAAAGUGGAAUUCCUAGUGUAGCGGUGAAAUGCGUAGAUAUUAGGAGGAACACCAGUGGCGAAGGCGACUUUCUGGACUGUACCUGACGCUGAGGCGCGAAAGCAUGGGGAGCAAACGGGA